UACGUAGGGUGCAAGCGUUGUCCGGAAUUAUUGGGCGUAAAGAGCUCGUAGGCGGUCUGUCGCGUCGGAUGUGAAAUCCCAGGGCUCAACCCUGGGCCUGCAUUCGAUACGGGCAGACUAGAGUUCGGUAGGGGAGACUGGAAUUCCUGGUGUAGCGGUGAAAUGCGCAGAUAUCAGGAGGAACACCGGUGGCGAAGGCGGGUCUCUGGGCCGAAACUGACGCUGAGGAGCGAAAGCGUGGGGAGCAAACAGG
This 253-nucleotide ribosomal RNA is filed under the name uncultured bacterium. Its description in RNAcentral is "partial 16S ribosomal RNA". It matches the Rfam family "Bacterial small subunit ribosomal RNA", at positions 524 to 776 of the family's 1533-position model. The record is from RNAcentral.